This 376-nucleotide ribosomal RNA is filed under the name uncultured organism. RNAcentral describes it as "partial 16S ribosomal RNA". It matches the Rfam family "Bacterial small subunit ribosomal RNA", at positions 527 to 896 of the family's 1533-position model. The record is from RNAcentral.
GUAGGUGGCAAGCGUUGUCCGGAAUUAUUGGGCGUAAAGCGCGCGCAGGCGGUCCUUUAAGUCUGAUGCGAAAGCCCACGGCUCAACCGUGGAGGGUCAUUGGAAACUGGGGGACUUGAGUACAGAAGAGGAAAGCGGAAUUCCAAGUGUAGCGGUGAAAUGCGUAGAGAUUUGGAGGAACACCAGUGGCGAAGGCGGCUUUCUGGUCUGUAACUGACGCUGAGGCGCGAAAGCGUGGGGAGCAAACAGGAUUAGAUACCCUGGUAGUCCACGCCGUAAACGAUGAGUGCUAAGUGUUAGGGGGUUUCCCGCCCCCCUUAGUGCUGCAGCUAACGCAUUAAGCACUCCGCCUGGGGGAGUACGGCCCGCAAGGCUG